RNAcentral lists this ribosomal RNA (497 nucleotides) under uncultured bacterium. Its description in RNAcentral is "partial 16S ribosomal RNA". It matches the Rfam family "Bacterial small subunit ribosomal RNA", at positions 28 to 507 of the family's 1533-position model. The record is from RNAcentral.
GACGAACGCUGGCGGCGUGCCUAAUACAUGCAAGUAGAACGCUGAAGAGAGGAGCUUGCUCUUCUUGGAUGAGUUGCGAACGGGUGAGUAACGCGUAGGUAACCUGCCUUGUAGCGGGGGAUAACUAUUGGAAACGAUAGCUAAUACCGCAUAACAAUGGAUGACACAUGUCAUUUAUUUGAAAGGGGCAAUUGCUCCACUACAAGAUGGACCUGCGUUGUAUUAGCUAGUAGGUGAGGUAAUGGCUCACCUAGGCGACGAUACAUAGCCGACCUGAGAGGGUGAACGGCCAAACUGGGACUGAGACACGGCCCAGAAUCCUACGGGAGGCAGCAGUAGGGAAUCUUCGGCAAUGGGGGCAACCCUGACCGAGCAACGCCGCGUGAGUGAAGAAGGGUUUCGGAUCGUAAAGCUCUGUUGUAAGUCAAGAACGGGUGUGAGAGUGGAAAGUUCACACUGUGACGGUAGCUUACCAGAAAGGGACGGCUAACUACGUG